Molecule: ribosomal RNA, 253 nt
Filed under: uncultured bacterium
Lineage: Bacteria
Description: partial 16S ribosomal RNA
Rfam family: Bacterial small subunit ribosomal RNA
Source: RNAcentral
UACGUAGGUGGCGAGCGUUGUCCGGAAUUACUGGGUGUAAAGCGCGUGUAGGCGGGAGGCCAAGUCUGUGGUGAAAUCGCUCGGCUUAACUGGGCGGGGUCCAUGGAAACUGGUCACCUGGAGGUCGGUAGAGGCAAGUGGAAUUCCCGGUGUAGUGGUGAAAUGCGUAGAGAUCGGGAGGAACACCAGUGGCGAAGGCGGCUCUCUGGGCCUUACCUGACGCUGAGGAGCGAAAGCGUGGGUAGCGAACAGG